This 492-nucleotide ribosomal RNA is filed under the name uncultured bacterium. RNAcentral's name for it is "partial 16S ribosomal RNA". It matches the Rfam family "Bacterial small subunit ribosomal RNA", at positions 29 to 507 of the family's 1533-position model. The record is from RNAcentral.
AGUGAACGCUGGCGGUAGGCCUAACACAUGCAAGUCGAACGGCAGCACAGUAAGAGCUUGCUCUUACGGGUGGCGAGUGGCGGACGGGUGAGGAAUACAUCGGAAUCUGCUUUUUCGUGGGGGAUAACGUAGGGAAACUUACGCUAAUACCGCAUACGACCUACGGGUGAAAGCAGGGGAUCUUCGGACCUUGCGCGAUUGAAUGAGCCGAUGUCGGAUUAGCUAGUUGGCGGGGUAAAGGCCCACCAAGGCGACGAUCCGUAGCUGGUCUGAGAGGAUGAUCAGCCACACUGGAACUGAGACACGGUCCAGACUCCUACGGGAGGCAGCAGUGGGGAAUAUUGGACAAUGGGCGCAAGCCUGAUCCAGCCAUACCGCGUGGGUGAAGAGGGCCUUCGGGUUGUAAAGCCCUUUUGUUGGGAAAGAAAAGCAGCAGGUUAAUACCCCGCUGUUCUGACGGUACCCAAAGAAUAAGCACCGGCUAACUUCGUG